GUGGGGAAUAUUGGACAAUGGGGGCAACCCUGAUCCAGCCAUGCCGCGUGAAUGAUGAAGGCCUUCGGGUUGUAAAGUUCUUUUGGUGGGGACGAUGAUGACGGUACCCACAGAAUAAGCUCCGGCUAACUUCGUGCCAGCAGCCGCGGUAAUACGAAGGGAGCUAGCGUUGUUCGGAAUUACUGGGCGUAAAGGGCGCGUAGGCGGUUCGACAAAUCAGAUGUGAAAGCCCUGGGCUUAACCCGGGAACUGCGUUUGAUACUGUCGUGCUUGAAUUCGGGAGAGGUGAGUGGAAUUCCCAGUGUAGAGGUGAAAUUCGUAGAUAUUGGGAAGAACACCGGUGGCGAAGGCGGCUCACUGGACCGACAUUGACGCUGAGGCGCGAAAGCGUGGGGAGCAAACAGGAUUAGAUACCCGAGUAGUCC
RNAcentral lists this ribosomal RNA (425 nucleotides) under uncultured bacterium. Its description in RNAcentral is "partial 16S ribosomal RNA". It matches the Rfam family "Bacterial small subunit ribosomal RNA", at positions 354 to 796 of the family's 1533-position model. The record is from RNAcentral.